This 695-nucleotide long non-coding RNA is filed under the name Marmota monax (woodchuck). The record is from RNAcentral. Lineage: Eukaryota; Metazoa; Chordata; Mammalia; Rodentia; Sciuridae.
AGGUUUACUUUGUUGGUACUUUUUUUUUUUCUUGCUCCUUAUUUUAGAUGCUGUGUGUGCGUGUGCGUGUUUUUGCUGGGGAUUGACUACCACUGAGGCAUAUUCCCAGCUCAUCAUGGGUUUUUUUUUUUAUGGGGGCAGUACUAGGGAUUGAAUCAAGGGGUGCUUUACCAAUAAGCUACAUCCCCAGACACUUUUAUUAUUAUUAUUUUUUUAAAUUUUGAGUCAGGAUCUCGCUAAGUUGCUUAGGGCCUUGCUAAAUUGCUGAAACUACCCUCAAACUUGCGAUCCUCAUGCCUCAGCCUCCCGAAUCUCAUCAUGCAUUUUUGAUAUGUAGUAAUUCAACUAUGGUUUAGUUCUAAAUACACUAAAUUAGAUCUUCACUUGAUGAGAUUACUUAGGGGUGUAUUUUUAAUUUCUAUAACUACGCAGUUGUUUCAAUAUAUCUUUAUGGUAGGAUAGAAGUUCAUUGGAUUAGACAAAGGGGAAUGAAGGGAAGGGUAGGAGGAUGAGAAUAGGAAAAACAGUAGAAUGAGUCUGAUAUAACUUUCCUAUGUUUAUAUAUGAACACAUGACCAGUGUAACUCCACAUCAUAUACAACUACAAGAAUGGGAAGUCAUACUCCAUGUAUGUAUAAUAUGGCAAUAUAUAUUCUACUGUCAUGUAUAACUAAAAAGAACAAAUAAAAAAAGGA